AUCACUGCUUGCAGUGAUUGAUUAGUGGCGAACGGGUGAGUAACACGUGAGGAACUUGCCCAUGAGCGGGGGACAACAUUCGGAAACGGAUGCUAAUACCCCAUAGGUGGAUUGGUCGCAUGACGAAUUCAUUAAAGGUGGCUUUGCUACCACUCAUGGAUAGCCUCGCGGCGUAUUAGCUAGUUGGUAAGGUAAUGGCUUACCAAGGCAGUGAUACGUAGCCGACUUGAGAGGGUGAUCGGCCACACUGGGACUGAGACACGGCCCAGACUCCUACGGGAG
Molecule: ribosomal RNA, 282 nt
Filed under: Dolosigranulum pigrum
Lineage: Bacteria; Bacillati; Bacillota; Bacilli; Lactobacillales; Carnobacteriaceae
Description: partial 16S ribosomal RNA
Rfam family: Bacterial small subunit ribosomal RNA
Source: RNAcentral